UAUCAUCCUAUUCAUCUCUGU
Molecule: non-coding RNA, 21 nt
Filed under: Mus musculus (house mouse)
Lineage: Eukaryota; Metazoa; Chordata; Mammalia; Rodentia; Muridae
Source: RNAcentral